AAAAAAAAACAUUCUGGUAGAUGGUAUUCUAGAAGUACGUGGAUGUCCAGGACCAAACUAUUCAACUUCUGGUGGCAACAAUGCAUUAGGUGGGAAAAUAAUGUCGGGAACUUCCCACUUGCCUUCAUUCGGUAGAGAAAAUAUAGUCUCAGUAUAUGUUGCUCUCUAAGAAUUAGCAGAGGAAUAAGAAGAGCAUAAUGUUCUCGUUGCAAAGUCUUGAUAUAUAGCUACCGCGAUUGCAUGCUCCCACAGAAAACUUUCCAACUAAAAUCGACUCCAAGUGCAUGUUUUAUGAAUCAAGUCCACCAUGUAUGCCGUAUUACGUGCAUAUUUCACGGAGAAGCGUAGCACAUCCAGCAAUUCCACAUUCAACUUUCUCGCAAUCUCUGCAGCUUUGAAAAGUUUGUCCCCUUAAGCCAAUAUCUAGUCUUCAGAUUGCCUUGUAUGUAAUACAUGCAAUACCCGUGACGUACCUCGAAAAAAACUUCAGCGAUACCAUUUAUUGUAAACGGUCCCAGAUCAGUUACAAAGGCGAGGUCCUUGACUUUCCCAAUCACUUUCCUUAGCUUUGUAAAGAACCAACGCAUUAAUAGAUCGUUCUCACUGUUAACUAUGCUAAAUGCAAAAGCGUAAAUUUGGAUGUUGAUAUCUUGACAUGUAGCAGUAGUCAACUUGCCUUGGUAUCUAGCUUUCAAAGUUGUACCAUUGACUAGAACUACGGGUCGCAUCGCAUUUUGAAAUCUUCAAAUGCAUUGUCCAAGAGCCACGAAGAAAAACUUAAAGCAAAUCUCACCCUCCGUCUCACUAAAAAAUGUCGAGCCCGGAUUAGU
Molecule: long non-coding RNA, 830 nt
Filed under: Olea europaea (common olive)
Lineage: Eukaryota; Viridiplantae; Streptophyta; Magnoliopsida; Lamiales; Oleaceae
Description: long non-coding RNA (OEUR_LNC013449)
Source: RNAcentral